CAUGCNNGUCGAACGGUAACAUUUCUAGCUUGCUAGAAGGUGACGAGUGGCGGACGGGUGAGUAAUGCUUGGGAACUUGCCUUUGCGAGGGGGAUAACAGUUGGAAACGACUGCUAAUACCGCAUAAUGUCUUCGGACCAAACGGGGCUUCGGCUCCGGCGCAAAGGGAGGCCCAAGUGAGAUUAGCUAGUUGGUAAGGUAACGGCUUACCAAGGCGACGAUCUCUAGCUGUUCUGAGAGGAAGAUCAGCCACACUGGGACUGAGACACGGCCCAGACUCCUACGGGAGGCAGCAGUGGGGAAUAUUGCACAAUGGGGGAAACCCUGAUGCAGCCAUGCCGCGUGUGUGAAGAAGGCCUUCGGGUUGUAAAGCACUUUCAGUUGUGAGGAAAAGUUAGUAGUUAAUACCUGCUAGCCGUGACGUUAACAACAGAAGAAGCACCGGCUAACNNNNNGCCAGCAGCCGCGGUAAUACGGAGGGUGCGAGCGUUAAUCGGAAUUACUGGGCGUAAAGCGCACGCAGGCGGUUUGUUAAGCUAGAUGUGAAAGCCCCGGGCUCAACCUGGGAUGGUCAUUUAGAACUGGCAGACUAGAGUCUUGGAGAGGGGAGUGGAAUUCCAGGUGUAGCGGUGAAAUGCGUAGAUAUCUGGAGGAACAUCAGUGGCGAAGGCGACUCCCUGGCCAAAGACUGACGCUCAUGUGCGAAAGUGUGGGUAGCGAACAGGAUUAGAUACCCUGGUAGUCCACACCGUAAACGCUGUCUACUAGCUGUGUGUGCCUUUANNGNGUGCGUAGCGAANCUAACGCGCUAAGUAGACCGNCNGGGGAGUACGGCCGCA
Molecule: ribosomal RNA, 839 nt
Filed under: uncultured bacterium
Lineage: Bacteria
Description: bacterial SSU rRNA
Rfam family: Bacterial small subunit ribosomal RNA
Source: RNAcentral